This 2900-nucleotide ribosomal RNA is filed under the name Shigella flexneri K-315. RNAcentral's name for it is "bacterial LSU rRNA". It matches the Rfam family "Bacterial large subunit ribosomal RNA". Lineage: Bacteria; Pseudomonadati; Pseudomonadota; Gammaproteobacteria; Enterobacterales; Enterobacteriaceae. The record is from RNAcentral.
UAAGCGACUAAGCGUACACGGUGGAUGCCCUGGCAGUCAGAGGCGAUGAAGGACGUGCUAAUCUGCGAUAAGCGUCGGUAAGGUGAUAUGAACCGUUAUAACCGGCGAUUUCCGAAUGGGGAAACCCAGUGUGAUUCGUCACACUAUCAUUAACUGAAUCCAUAGGUUAAUGAGGCGAACCGGGGGAACUGAAACAUCUAAGUACCCCGAGGAAAAGAAAUCAACCGAGAUUCCCCCAGUAGCGGCGAGCGAACGGGGAGCAGUCCCAGAGCCUGAAUCAGUGUGUGUGUUAGUGGAAGCGUCUGGAAAGGCGUGCGAUACAGGGUGACAGCCCCGUACACAAAAAUGCACAUAUUGUGAGCUCGAUGAGUAGGGCGGGACACGUGGUAUCCUGUCUGAAUAUGGGGGGACCAUCCUCCAAGGCUAAAUACUCCUGACUGACCGAUAGUGAACCAGUACCGUGAGGGAAAGGCGAAAAGAACCCCGGCGAGGGGAGUGAAAAAGAACCUGAAACCGUGUACGUACAAGCAGUGGGAGCACGCUUAGGCGUGUGACUGCGUACCUUUUGUAUAAUGGGUCAGCGACUUAUAUUCUGUAGCAAGGUUAACCGAAUAGGGGAGCCGAAGGGAAACCGAGUCUUAACUGGGCGUUAAGUUGCAGGGUAUAGACCCGAAACCCGGUGAUCUAGCCAUGGGCAGGUUGAAGGUUGGGUAACACUAACUGGAGGACCGAACCGACUAAUGUUGAAAAAUUAGCGGAUGACUUGUGGCUGGGGGUGAAAGGCCAAUCAAACCGGGAGAUAGCUGGUUCUCCCCGAAAGCUAUUUAGGUAGCGCCUCGUGAAUUCAUCUCCGGGGGUAGAGCACUGUUUCGGCAAGGGGGUCAUCCCGACUUACCAACCCGAUGCAAACUGCGAAUACCGGAGAAUGUUAUCACGGGAGACACACGGCGGGUGCUAACGUCCGUCGUGAAGAGGGAAACAACCCAGACCGCCAGCUAAGGUCCCAAAGUCAUGGUUAAGUGGGAAACGAUGUGGGAAGGCCCAGACAGCCAGGAUGUUGGCUUAGAAGCAGCCAUCAUUUAAAGAAAGCGUAAUAGCUCACUGGUCGAGUCGGCCUGCGCGGAAGAUGUAACGGGGCUAAACCAUGCACCGAAGCUGCGGCAGCGACACUAUGUGUUGUUGGGUAGGGGAGCGUUCUGUAAGCCUGUGAAGGUGUACUGUGAGGUAUGCUGGAGGUAUCAGAAGUGCGAAUGCUGACAUAAGUAACGAUAAAGCGGGUGAAAAGCCCGCUCGCCGGAAGACCAAGGGUUCCUGUCCAACGUUAAUCGGGGCAGGGUGAGUCGACCCCUAAGGCGAGGCCGAAAGGCGUAGUCGAUGGGAAACAGGUUAAUAUUCCUGUACUUGGUGUUACUGCGAAGGGGGGACGGAGAAGGCUAUGUUGGCCGGGCGACGGUUGUCCCGGUUUAAGCGUGUAGGCUGGUUUUCCAGGCAAAUCCGGAAAACUAAGGCUGAGGCGUGAUGACGAGGCACUACGGUGCUGAAGCAACAAAUGCCCUGCUUCCAGGAAAAGCCUCUAAGCACCAGGUAACAUCAAAUCGUACCCCAAACCGACACAGGUGGUCAGGUAGAGAAUACCAAGGCGCUUGAGAGAACUCGGGUGAAGGAACUAGGCAAAAUGGUGCCGUAACUUCGGGAGAAGGCACGCUGAUAUGUAGGUGAAGUCCCUCGCGGAUGGAGCUGAAAUCAGUCGAAGAUACCAGCUGGCUGCAACUGUUUAUUAAAAACACAGCACUGUGCAAACACGAAAGUGGACGUAUACGGUGUGACGCCUGCCCGGUGCCGGAAGGUUAAUUGAUGGGGUCAGCGCAAGCGAAGCUCUUGAUCGAAGCCCCGGUAAACGGCGGCCGUAACUAUAACGGUCCUAAGGUAGCGAAAUUCCUUGUCGGGUAAGUUCCGACCUGCACGAAUGGCGUAAUGAUGGCCAGGCUGUCUCCACCCGAGACUCAGUGAAAUUGAACUCGCUGUGAAGAUGCAGUGUACCCGCGGCAAGACGGAAAGACCCCGUGAACCUUUACUAUAGCUUGACACUGAACAUUGAGCCUUGAUGUGUAGGAUAGGUGGGAGGCUUUGAAGUGUGGACGCCAGUCUGCAUGGAGCCGACCUUGAAAUACCACCCUUUAAUGUUUGAUGUUCUAACGUUGACCCGUAAUCCGGGUUGCGGACAGUGUCUGGUGGGUAGUUUGACUGGGGCGGUCUCCUCCUAAAGAGUAACGGAGGAGCACGAAGGUUGGCUAAUCCUGGUCGGACAUCAGGAGGUUAGUGCAAUGGCAUAAGCCAGCUUGACUGCGAGCGUGACGGCGCGAGCAGGUGCGAAAGCAGGUCAUAGUGAUCCGGUGGUUCUGAAUGGAAGGGCCAUCGCUCAACGGAUAAAAGGUACUCCGGGGAUAACAGGCUGAUACCGCCCAAGAGUUCAUAUCGACGGCGGUGUUUGGCACCUCGAUGUCGGCUCAUCACAUCCUGGGGCUGAAGUAGGUCCCAAGGGUAUGGCUGUUCGCCAUUUAAAGUGGUACGCGAGCUGGGUUUAGAACGUCGUGAGACAGUUCGGUCCCUAUCUGCCGUGGGCGCUGGAGAACUGAGGGGGGCUGCUCCUAGUACGAGAGGACCGGAGUGGACGCAUCACUGGUGUUCGGGUUGUCAUGCCAAUGGCACUGCCCGGUAGCUAAAUGCGGAAGAGAUAAGUGCUGAAAGCAUCUAAGCACGAAACUUGCCCCGAGAUGAGUUCUCCCUGACUCCUUGAGAGUCCUGAAGGAACGUUGAAGACGACGACGUUGAUAGGCCGGGUGUGUAAGCGCAGCGAUGCGUUGAGCUAACCGGUACUAAUGAACCGUGAGGCUUAACCU